UACAGAGGGUGCGAGCGUUGUCCGGAAUCACUGGGCGUAAAGGGCGCGUAGGCGGCCUGAUAAGUCGGGGGUGAAAUCCUGUGGCUUAACCACAGGGCUGCCUCCGAGACUGUCGGGCUCGAGCACAGUAGAGGCAGGUGGAAUUCCCGGUGUAGCGGUGGAAUUCGUAGAUAUCGGGAGGAACACCAGUGGCGAAGGCGGCCACCUGGAUGGAUACUGACGCUGAGACGCGAAAGCGUGGGGAGCAAACAGG
Molecule: ribosomal RNA, 253 nt
Filed under: uncultured bacterium
Lineage: Bacteria
Description: partial 16S ribosomal RNA
Rfam family: Bacterial small subunit ribosomal RNA
Source: RNAcentral